CACAACGUGACAAUUCAAUUCUCGUACAUAGCAUCAGGAAUAGAUAGGCGUGGGGAUAAAAAAAGGCCAAAAAAAAAAAAAAAAUCUAGUGUAGUUGAGUAAUUGUUAUAUUAACAGGGGCCAAAUUAAAAUUUUACCAAAUUAUAGGACCAAAAAUAUAUUUAGGGUUUUUGACCUCCUAUAUAAGAUUACAGUGAAGAGCAUUGCAGCCGUCUCUGAAUAAACCUCCUAUAUAUUUCGAGAAUUGAGACUCGGGGAUGCUGAGGAUCAGCGCACAUGUCUCCUUGGUAUUCUUAUUGCAGUAGCAGAGGAGGUUUGGACAACCGUGUUUGCAGGGCAGAAUGCCUGUCACGAAUGAGAGGAAUACUUCUGCUCCAAGGUACGUAGUUGUUUCUUAUUUAUUCCUUUAUUUGUUGAAAGAAUGGAACUGUAUGAUUAGAGUUGCAUAUGAGAAGGAGUCGGUCUGAUCUAGAACUUUUGUUUGACUUUUGUGUUUUGCAUACUUUUGGCCAAAAUAUUUACUCAGUUAUUGUGGCAAAAGAUGAGGUAAAAGAAGAAUGCUGAGGCUUUUGUGUUUAAAACUAUCAAGGGAGAAUCCCCUCAUGACCUUCAAAGUUGGCAUUGAAGAUGUAGGGGGGGGGUUGCUUGAGAAGAGAGUAGCCGUGGUGCUCCCUCCCAGACCACUCGGAUACCACUAGUGAAUAGAAAAGUUUUCUCUGCAUUGGAUCUCACUCGGUUCACCCCAUCCUUGACCAAGCUAGCAAAGGCAGUGCACUGGCAACAAACAGAGUUUGAUGAUCCCGAAUUAUUCAAGAUAAGAACAGAGUGGGUGGUAAACUGCUUCACUAUCAUUGAACAUCAAUGUGGUCAGUAGCAACCCCAAAUAGGGGUAGCAGUAAACUAGUAAUAGAGUGGAGAAUCGUAGGUACAUAUAGUGUAGUUCCACGAAUUGCAUUGACCUGUUUAGCUCUCUUUUUGUAACAACCAGCAAUUGCAUUUCUUAUGUAUUGAAUUUCUAUUUGGCUUGUUU
Long non-coding RNA from Rosa rugosa (rugosa rose), 1030 nucleotides. RefSeq lists it as uncharacterized. The transcript is spliced from 2 exons. Lineage: Eukaryota; Viridiplantae; Streptophyta; Magnoliopsida; Rosales; Rosaceae. The record is from RefSeq and is a predicted model, not a curated record.